Non-coding RNA from Triticum aestivum (bread wheat), 115 nucleotides. The record is from Rfam. NCBI's taxonomy places the organism in Eukaryota, Viridiplantae, Streptophyta, Magnoliopsida, Poales, Poaceae.
CUUGUACUCCCUCCGUCCAAAAAUACUUUUCAUUGAAAUGGAUGUAUCUAGACGUAUUUUAGUUGUAGACGCAUCCAUUUUGAUGACAAGUAAUUCCGGAUGGAGGGAGUACUUG